Pelobates cultripes (western spadefoot toad) is the source of this 202-nucleotide non-coding RNA. Lineage: Eukaryota; Metazoa; Chordata; Amphibia; Anura; Pelobatidae. The record is from the annotation of a GenBank genome assembly.
CUCACACACUUUUUUUCUUAGACGACACUCUCUUUGACCUCCUGAGAACCUCAGGCCUCCUCGGUCUGUCACGGUUUUACCUAAGCCUUAUCUAAUCCACUACUCCUGUCACAGGUACUUACUAGAUCUCACAUGUUUUGCUUCCUGCAAGUAAACUAGAGAUGUUUCCAUCUUUCUCAUACAUACUUCAGGUCCUUCUCGU